UUAAAUUGAAGAGUUUGAUCAUGGCUCAGAUUGAACGCUGGCGGCAGGCCUAACACAUGCAAGUCGAGCGGUAGCACAGAGAGCUUGCUCUCGGGUGACGAGCGGCGGACGGGUGAGUAAUGUCUGGGAAACUGCCUGAUGGAGGGGGAUAACUAC
RNAcentral lists this ribosomal RNA (156 nucleotides) under Klebsiella quasipneumoniae. Its description in RNAcentral is "partial 16S rRNA. Bacterial SSU". It matches the Rfam family "Bacterial small subunit ribosomal RNA", at positions 1 to 150 of the family's 1533-position model. The record is from RNAcentral. Lineage: Bacteria; Pseudomonadati; Pseudomonadota; Gammaproteobacteria; Enterobacterales; Enterobacteriaceae.